GAAGGUAGCAUAAUCAGUAGUCUUUUAAUUGAAGGCUUGUAUGAAUGGUUGGACGAAAUAUUAACUGUUUCAUUUAAAAUUAUUAUAGAACUUUAUUUUUUAGUCAAAAAGCUAAAAUAUAAUUAAAAGACGAGAAGACCCUAUAAAUCUUUAUAUUUUAUUAAUUUUAAUUAUAAAGAUUAAUUAAAUUAUAAUUUGUUAAAAUAUUUUAUUGGGGUGAUAUUAAAAUUUAAAAAACUUUUAAUUUUUUUUGUACAUUGAUUUAUGAAUAAAUGAUCCAUUAUUAAUGAUUAAAAAUUUAAGUUACUUUAGGGAUAACAGCGUAAUUUUUUUGGAGAGUUCAUAUUGAUAAAAAAGAUUGCGACCUCGAUGUUGGAUUAA
RNAcentral lists this ribosomal RNA (381 nucleotides) under Bolopus furcatus. RNAcentral describes it as "partial 16S ribosomal RNA". Lineage: Eukaryota; Metazoa; Arthropoda; Insecta; Diptera; Platypezidae. The record is from RNAcentral.